CAUUUAUGGCUAUUAGAUGGGUAUGCGUCCUAUUAGUUAGUUGGUAAGGUAACGGCUUACCAAGGCAGCGAUAGGUAGGGGUCCUGAGAGGGAGAUCCCCCACACUGGUACUGAGACACGGACCAGACUCCUACGGGAGGCAGCAGUGAGGAAUAUUGGACAAUGGGCGAGAGCCUGAUCCAGCCAUGCCGCGUGCAGGAAGACUGCCCUAUGGGUUGUAAACUGCUUUUACAGAGGAAGAACCACCCCCACGUGUGGGGGUUUGACGGUACUCUGCGAAUAAGGAUCGGCUAACUCCGUGCCAGCAGCCGCGGUAAUACGGAGGAUCCAAGCGUUAUCCGGAAUCAUUGGGUUUAAAGGGUCCGUAGGCGGGCAGUUAAGUCAGUGGUGAAAGUCUUCCGCUCAACGGGAGAACUGCCAUUGAUACUGAUUGUCUUGAGUUAUUAUGAAGUGGUUAGAAUGAGUAGUGUAGCGGUGAAAUGCAUAGAUAUUACUCAGAAUACCGAUUGCGAAGGCAGAUCACUAAUAAUAUACUGACGCUGAUGGACGAAAGCGUAGGUAGCGAACAGGAUUAGAUACCCUGGUAGUCUACGCCGUAAACGAUGGUUACUAGCUGUUCGGAUCGAUUGAGAUCUGAGUGGUUAAGCGAAAGUGAUAAGUAACCCACCUGGGGAGUACGUUCGCAAGAAUGAAACUCAAAGGAAUUGACGGGGGCCCGCACAAGCGGUGGAGCAUGUGGUUUAAUUCGAUGAUACGCGAGGAACCUUACCAGGGCUUAAAUGUAGUCUGACAGGGGUGGAAACACCCUUUUCUUCG
RNAcentral lists this ribosomal RNA (816 nucleotides) under Salegentibacter sp. Hel_I_34. Its description in RNAcentral is "bacterial SSU rRNA". It matches the Rfam family "Bacterial small subunit ribosomal RNA", at positions 206 to 1020 of the family's 1533-position model. The record is from RNAcentral. Lineage: Bacteria; Pseudomonadati; Bacteroidota; Flavobacteriia; Flavobacteriales; Flavobacteriaceae.